AGAGUUUGAUCAUGGCUCAGAACGAACGCUGGCGGCGUGCUUAACACAUGCAAGUCGAACGAGAAAGUCCUUCGGGAUGAGUAGAGUGGCAGACGGGUGAGUAAUGAAUAGGAACAUACCUUUUGGUGGGGGAUAACCACGGGAAACUGUGGCUAAUACCGCAUGAGAUCUAAGGAUGAAAGGGGGCGCCUGGCAACGGGGCUCUCGCCGAUAGAGUGGCCUAUUUCCCAUUAGCUAGUUGGUAAGGUAAAGGCUUACCAAGGCAACGAUGGGUAGCUGGUCUGAGAGGACGAUCAGCCACACUGGAACUGAGAUACGGUCCAGACUCCUACGGGAGGCAGCAGUGGGGAAUCUUGCACAAUGGACGAAAGUCUGAUGCAGCAACGCCGCGUGAGUGAAGAAGGCCUUUGGGUUGUAAAGCUCUUUAGGUCGGGAAGAAGGGGCACUUUACUAAUAAUGGAGUGUUUUGACGGUACCGGCAGAAUAAGCACCGGCUAAUCUCGUGCCAGCAGCCGCGGUAAUACGAGAGGUGCAAGCGUUGUUCGGAGUGAUUGGGCGUAAAGCGCACGUAGGCGGGCAUGUAAGUCAGAUGUGAAAUCCCUGGACUUAACCUGGGAACCGCAUUUGAUACUGCAAGUCUUGAAUAUCUCAGAGGUUGGUGGAAUUCUUGGUGUAGGAGUGAAAUCCGUAGAUAUCAAGAGGAACAUCGGAGGCGAAGGCGGCCAACUGGGAGAAUAUUGACGCUGAGGUGCGAAAGCGUGGGGAGCAAACAGGAUUAGAUACCCUAGUAGUCC
RNAcentral lists this ribosomal RNA (794 nucleotides) under uncultured bacterium. RNAcentral's name for it is "bacterial SSU rRNA". It matches the Rfam family "Bacterial small subunit ribosomal RNA", at positions 8 to 796 of the family's 1533-position model. The record is from RNAcentral.